This 1185-nucleotide ribosomal RNA is filed under the name uncultured bacterium. RNAcentral describes it as "bacterial SSU rRNA". It matches the Rfam family "Bacterial small subunit ribosomal RNA", at positions 210 to 1397 of the family's 1533-position model. The record is from RNAcentral.
AUUUAUCGGUAACGGAUGGGGAUGCGUGACAUUAGAUAGUAGGCGGGGUAACGGCCCACCUAGUCUACGAUGUCUAGGGGUUCUGAGAGGAAGGUCCCCCACACUGGAACUGAGACACGGUCCAGACUCCUACGGGAGGCAGCAGUGAGGAAUAUUGGUCAAUGGUCGGAAGACUGAACCAGCCAAGUAGCGUGAAGGAUGAAGGUUCUAUGGAUUGUAAACUUCUUUUAUACGGGAAUAAAGCCCGCUACGUGUAGCGGUUUGUAUGUACCGUAUGAAUAAGCAUCGGCUAACUCCGUGCCAGCAGCCGCGGUAAUACGGAGGAUGCGAGCGUUAUCCGGAUUUAUUGGGUUUAAAGGGAGCGUAGACGGGAUGUUAAGUCAGUUGUGAAAGGCUGCGGCUCAACCGCAGCACUGCAGUUGAUACUGGCGUCCUUGAGUGCGGUUGAGGUGUGUGGAAUUCGUGGUGUAGCGGUGAAAUGCUUAGAUAUCACGAAGAACUCCGAUUGCGAAGGCAGCACACUAAGCCGCAACUGACGUUGAUGCUCGAAAGUGUGGGUAUCAAACAGGAUUAGAUACCCUGGUAGUCCACACGGUAAACGAUGAAUACUCGCUGUUGGCGAUAGACUGUCAGCGGCCCAAGCGAAAGCAUUAAGUAUUCCACCUGGGGAGUACGCCGGCAACGGUGAAACUCAAAGGAAUUGACGGGGGCCCGCACAAGCGGAGGAACAUGUGGUUUAAUUCGAUGACACGCGAGGAACCUUACCCGGGCUCGAACGGCAGGGGAAUUGACCAGAGAUGGUCAAGUCUUCGGACUCCUGUCGAGGUGCUGCAUGGUUGUCGUCAGCUCGUGCUGUGAAGUGUCGGCUUAAGUGCCAUAACGAGCGCAACCCUUGCCGUCAGUUGCCAUCAGGUUAAGCUGGGGAUUCUGGGGGGACUCCCCCCCCAAGGUGUGAGGAGGGGGGGGAGGAGGUCAAAUCAGCACGGCCCUUACUUCGGGGGGGACACACGUGUUACAAUGGUGGGUACAGAGGGAAGUUACCUGGCGACAGGAUGCAGAUCUGGAAAACCCAUCCCAGUUCGGAUUGGAGUGUGCAACCCGACUCCAUGAAGUUGGAUUCGCUAGUAAUCGCGCAUCAGCCAUGGCGCGGAGAAUACGUUCCCGGGCCUUGCACUCACCGCCCGU